RNAcentral lists this unclassified non-coding RNA (18 nucleotides) under Mus musculus (house mouse). RNAcentral's name for it is "oocyte_clustered_small_RNA6214". Lineage: Eukaryota; Metazoa; Chordata; Mammalia; Rodentia; Muridae. The record is from RNAcentral.
UGCUAGGAGGCUGGAGAG